Molecule: ribosomal RNA, 253 nt
Filed under: uncultured bacterium
Lineage: Bacteria
Description: partial 16S ribosomal RNA
Rfam family: Bacterial small subunit ribosomal RNA
Source: RNAcentral
UACCGAGGGGGCAAGCGUUGUUCGGAAUUACUGGGCGUAAAGGGCGCGUAGGCGGCCUGUUAAGUCGAACGUGAAAUCCCCGGGCUCAACCCGGGAACUGCGUCCGAUACUGGCAGGCUUGAAUCCGGGAGAGGGAUGCGGAAUUCCAGGUGUAGCGGUGAAAUGCGUAGAUAUCUGGAGGAACACCGGUGGCGAAGGCGGCAUCCUGGACCGGCAUUGACGCUGAGGCGCGAAAGCCAGGGGAGCAAACGGG